Molecule: transfer RNA, 65 nt
Filed under: Dipodomys ordii (Ord's kangaroo rat)
Lineage: Eukaryota; Metazoa; Chordata; Mammalia; Rodentia; Heteromyidae
Rfam family: tRNA
About the family: Transfer RNA (tRNA) molecules are approximately 80 nucleotides in length. Their secondary structure includes four short double-helical elements and three loops (D, anti-codon, and T loops).
Source: Rfam by way of RNAcentral
GGUGGCUCAGUGGUAGAGCGCUUGUCUUGCAUGCAUGGGACCCUGGGUUCGAUUCCUUGGCACCA